GAUGAACGCUGACAGAAUGCUUAACACAUGCAAGUCAACUUGAACUUCGGUUUGUGUGGCGGACGGGUGAGUAACGCGUAAAGAACUUGCCUCACAGAUAGGGACAACAUAUGGAAACGAAUGCUAAUACCUGAUAUUAUGAUUAUAUGGCAUCGUAUAAUUAUGAAAGCUAUAUCGGCUGUGAGAGGGCUUUGCGUCUCAUUAGCUAGUUGGAGAGGUAUCGGCUCACCAAGGCGAGGAUGGGUAGCCGGCCUGAGAGGGUGCUCGGCCAAUAGGGGACUAAGACACGGCCAGUACCCCUACGGGAGGAAGAAGUGGGGAUAAUGGAACAAGGGACCAAGAGUCUGGUCCAGCAAUUCUGUGUGCACGAUGAAGUUUUGCGGAAUGUAAAGUUUUUUCAGUUGGGAAGAAAAAAAUGACGGUACCAACAGAAGAAGUAACGGCUAAAUACGUG
Molecule: ribosomal RNA, 454 nt
Filed under: uncultured bacterium
Lineage: Bacteria
Description: partial 16S ribosomal RNA
Rfam family: Bacterial small subunit ribosomal RNA
Source: RNAcentral